GAUGAACGCUGGCGGCGUGCCUAAUACAUGCAAGUCGAGCGAACGGACGAGAAGCUUGCUUCUCUGAUGUUAGCGGCGGACGGGUGAGUAACACGUGGAUAACCUACUUAUAAGACUGGGAUAACUUCGUGAAACCGGAGCUAAUACCGGAUAAUAUUUUGAACCGCAUGGUUCAAAAGUGAAAGACGGUCUUGCUGUCACUUAUAGAUGGAUCCGCGCUGCAUUAGCUAGUUGGUAAGGUAACGGCUUACCAAGGCAACGAUGCAUAGCCGACCUGAGAGGGUGAUCGGCCACACUGGAACUGAGACACGGUCCAGACUCCUACGGGAGGCAGCAGUAGGGAAUCUUCCGCAAUGGGCGAAAGCCUGACGGAGCAACGCCGCGUGAGUGAUGAAGGUCUUCGGAUCGUAAAACUCUGUUAUUAGGGAAGAACAUAUGUGUAAGUAACUGUGCACAUCUUGACGGUACCUAAUCAGAAAGCCACGGCUAACUACGUG
RNAcentral lists this ribosomal RNA (497 nucleotides) under uncultured bacterium. RNAcentral describes it as "partial 16S ribosomal RNA". It matches the Rfam family "Bacterial small subunit ribosomal RNA", at positions 28 to 507 of the family's 1533-position model. The record is from RNAcentral.